RNAcentral lists this ribosomal RNA (497 nucleotides) under uncultured bacterium. RNAcentral's name for it is "partial 16S ribosomal RNA". It matches the Rfam family "Bacterial small subunit ribosomal RNA", at positions 28 to 507 of the family's 1533-position model. The record is from RNAcentral.
GAUGAACGCUGGCGGCGUGCCUAAUACAUGCAAGUCGAGCGAACGGACGAGAAGCUUGCUUCUCUGAUGUUAGCGGCGGACGGGUGAGUAACACGUGGAUAACCUACCUAUAAGACUGGGAUAACUUCGGGAAACCGGAGCUAAUACCGGAUAAUAUUUUGAACCGCAUGGUUCAAAAGUGAAAGACGGUCUUGCUGUCACUUAUAGAUGGAUCCGCGCUGCAUUAGCUAGUUGGUAAGGUAACGGCUUACCAAGGCAACGAUGCAUAGCCGACCUGAGAGGGUGAUCGGCCACACUGGAACUGAGACACGGUCCAGACUCCUACGGGAGGCAGCAGUAGGGAAUCUUCCGCAAAGGGCGAAAGCCUGACGGAGCAACGCCGCGUGAGUGGUGAAGGUCUUCGGAUCGUAAAACUCUGUUAUUAGAGAAGAACAUAUGUGUAAGUAACUGUGCACAUCUUGACGGUACCUAAUCAGAAAGCCACGGCUAACUACGUG